GGGUUGUGAGGUUAAGCGACUAAGCGUACACGGUGGAUGCCCUGGCAGUCAGAGGCGAUGAAGGGCGUGCUAAUCUGCGAUAAGCGCCGGUAAGGUGAUAUGAACCGUUAUAACCGGCGAUACCCGAAUGGGGAAACCCAGUGUGACUCGUCACACUAUCAUUAACUGAAUCCAUAGGUUAAUGAGGCGAACCGGGGGAACUGAAACAUCUAAGUACCCCGAGGAAAAGAAAUCAACCGAGAUUCCCCCAGUAGCGGCGAGCGAACGGGGAGGAGCCCAGAGCCUGAAUCAGCAUGUGUGUUAGUGGAAGCGUCUGGAAAGGCGCGCGAUACAGGGUGACAGCCCCGUACACAAAAGCGCAUGUGCUGUGAGCUCGAUGAGUAGGGCGGGACACGUGGUAUCCUGUCUGAAUAUGGGGGGACCAUCCUCCAAGGCUAAAUACUCCUGACUGACCGAUAGUGAACCAGUACCGUGAGGGAAAGGCGAAAAGAACCCCGGCGAGGGGAGUGAAAAAGAACCUGAAACCGUGUACGUACAAGCAGUGGGAGCACAGGUUUACCUGUGUGACUGCGUACCUUUUGUAUAAUGGGUCAGCGACUUAUAUUCUGUAGCAAGGUUAACCGAAUAGGGGAGCCGCAGGGAAACCGAGUCUUAAUUGGGCGUUAAGUUGCAGGGUAUAGACCCGAAACCCGGUGAUCUAGCCAUGGGCAGGUUGAAGGUUGGGUAACACUAACUGGAGGACCGAACCGACUAAUGUUGAAAAAUUAGCGGAUGACCUGUGGCUGGGGGUGAAAGGCCAAUCAAACCGGGAGAUAGCUGGUUCUCCCCGAAAGCUAUUUAGGUAGCGCCUCGUGAACU
RNAcentral lists this ribosomal RNA (858 nucleotides) under Salmonella enterica. RNAcentral's name for it is "bacterial LSU rRNA". It matches the Rfam family "Bacterial large subunit ribosomal RNA", at positions 1 to 890 of the family's 2925-position model. Lineage: Bacteria; Pseudomonadati; Pseudomonadota; Gammaproteobacteria; Enterobacterales; Enterobacteriaceae. The record is from RNAcentral.